Molecule: ribosomal RNA, 332 nt
Filed under: uncultured eukaryote
Lineage: Eukaryota
Description: partial 18S ribosomal RNA
Rfam family: Eukaryotic small subunit ribosomal RNA
Source: RNAcentral
CCCUUAGAUGUUCUGGGCUGCACACGUGCUACACUGGCAGGUUCAGCGAGCUUCAUGCCCUGAUCUGAAAGGAAUGGGAAAUCUUUUCAAAACCUGCCGUGCUUGGGAUAGAUGUUUGCAAUUAUUCAUCUUCAACGAGGAUUGCCUUGUAAGCGCACGUCAUCAGCGUGCAUUGAAUACGACCCUGUAUUCUGUACACACCGCCCGUCGCUCCUACCGAUUGAAGUUCUCGGUGAGUUGACAGGAGGAUUUUUUUGAAACUGGUUCGCCAGUGGAUUUUAGAUCCAAAUGCCAACGAAUCGAUGGCUUUAGAGGAAGGAGAAGUCGUAACA